Alligator sinensis (Chinese alligator) is the source of this 492-nucleotide long non-coding RNA. RefSeq lists it as uncharacterized. The transcript is spliced from 3 exons. NCBI's taxonomy places the organism in Eukaryota, Metazoa, Chordata, Crocodylia, Alligatoridae. The record is from RefSeq and is a predicted model, not a curated record.
UGAACAGUGGGUCCUUGGCCAAAGUCAGCAGCAAAAGUAAAACUGAUCAGCUCCACUAGUGUGACCAAACAUACCCUGCUGUGAUCUGCCCAGACUCUGCCCAUAGCAGCCUACACUUAUGUCUACUUGCUGACUGCAAUCAUGUAGCAUAAUUAGAGAGGCAUUUCCUCAGCUCCCAGGACUGGCAAGAGCCUGUACACACCGCUCACAGUCUACAUUCACACAGCUUAAAGUGAUCUUCAUGAACACAGACCAGGUUCAAUGAACAACUAUAGUGAAAGAUGAGAAGAGCCAAGAUUUCAGGUUUCCCAUUUUCUGGUUAUGUGAAGCAAAAAACCUCUACAUUAUACAAGUGUGGAACACUUAGACCAGUGAUUCUCAACCAGAGCGCCCUGACACCUUUGGAUGCCUUGAAAUCCUUUCAAGGUUGCUGAGGGGUGUCACAAAAUGUUAGACAUCUAACUUCCUAAUUCUUGCCUGAGGCCCCCAAUU